GGUGAGGUAAAGGCUCACCAAGCCAACGAUCUGUAGCUGGUCUGAGAGGACGACCAGCCACACUGGAACUGAGACACGGUCCAGACUCCUACGGGAGGCAGCAGUGGGGAAUUUUGGACAAUGGACGCAAGUCUGAUCCAGCCAUUCCGCGUGCAGGAUGAAGGCCCUCGGGUUGUAAACUGCUUUGUACGGAACGAAAAGGUUUGUCUUAAUACGAUGAGCUCAUGACGGUACCGUAAGAAUAAGCACCGGCUAACUACGUG
This 263-nucleotide ribosomal RNA is filed under the name uncultured bacterium. Its description in RNAcentral is "partial 16S ribosomal RNA". It matches the Rfam family "Bacterial small subunit ribosomal RNA", at positions 251 to 507 of the family's 1533-position model. The record is from RNAcentral.